UCUCCUGGAAAAAAGGGUGGUAAUGCCGGAUGCUCCAGUUGAUCGCAUGGUCUUCUGGGAAAGCUUUCGCGGUAUGGGAUGGGGUCGCGUCCUAUCAGCUUGACGGCGGGGUAACGGCCCACCGUGGCUUCGACGGGUAGCCGGCCUGAGAGGGCGACCGGCCACAUUGGGACUGAGAUACGGCCCAGACUCCUACGGGAGGCAGCAGUGGGGAAUAUUGCACAAUGGGCGCAAGCCUGAUGCAGCGACGCCGCGUGAGGGAUGGAGGCCUUCGGGUUGUAAACCUCUUUUAUCGGGGAGCAAGCGAGAGUGAGUUUACCCGUUGAAUAAGCACCGGCUAACUACGUGCCAGCAGCCGCGGUAAUACGUAGGGUGCAAGCGUUAUCCGGAAUUAUUGGGCGUAAAGGGCUCGUAGGCGGUUCGUCGCGUCCGGUGUGAAAGUCCAUCGCUUAACGGUGGAUCCGCGCCGGGUACGGGCGGGCUUGAGUGCGGUAGGGGAGACUGGAAUUCCCGGUGUAACGGUGGAAUGUGUAGAUAUCG
Molecule: ribosomal RNA, 540 nt
Filed under: Bifidobacterium longum
Lineage: Bacteria; Bacillati; Actinomycetota; Actinomycetes; Bifidobacteriales; Bifidobacteriaceae
Description: bacterial SSU rRNA
Rfam family: Bacterial small subunit ribosomal RNA
Source: RNAcentral